Long non-coding RNA from Oryzias melastigma (Indian medaka), 1221 nucleotides. RefSeq lists it as uncharacterized. Lineage: Eukaryota; Metazoa; Chordata; Actinopteri; Beloniformes; Adrianichthyidae. The transcript has 2 exons. The record is from RefSeq and is a predicted model, not a curated record.
GUUUAUUUCACAAGUUAUUGCAGUAAAUGUAACUUAGUACCUACUGUUUUCUGAGAACAAAAAACAUGUACCAAAUUACUACAAAGUGUUUUUAUUUUAUUAAUCAUACUACAAUAGUGUUAAAUGCUAAUUUUCUCUUCUGACUUUUAUUGUAGAAAUUACUUUGAACAAUUUUCCCCUAGUUUUAUUCGAAAUCAUUAAAAGUAGUGUUUAAUUAUUCUCAAAAUAAAUGUGUUUCUUAUGUAUUUCUUUGUAUCUAGACUAGACCCCUGUAAUGCAGAAUCAACCAGUCUCCCAAUCCUGGAGCGGUUUUUCCAACAGUGAAGAUCCAAGACUUCAGAGGGAACAGGAACUCUCCUGCAGUCUUCCUGGACCUCUUUGAUCAGGAUCGGUGACAUCAGCAUCCUCCUGCAAGUGCUGGAGCUGCAUCACACCUCUGUACCUCAUGGAAGUGAACACAUUGCAGCUUUUCAAUAUUCUUUGGAAUAUAUUUAUAUACAUUUAAAUAUUGCAGCCUGUGCCAUCCUCCACGACAUCUGUGCUGACGACACUGUGGCUCCAGAGGAAGAGACAGAAGAAGAUCUGGGAAUGAUGAUGAGGAAGCUGGUUUGGAGUGAUCUCUGGCAGGACCAACUACCUGCUGAGGUUCCUGCCCUGGAGGAGGUGCCACCACACCUUGAUAACUGGUAACAGUUUGGAUCAAUGGUGACAUCAUUUCCAUUUGGCACCAGAAGGACAGUUCAACAAAACCACCACAGCGACGUGAGCUCAACGAGGACCCACAUCACCUGGAUCAGCUGAGGCGGACGGUGGUGGACAUCUUUUAUUUUUAAUUCUACAAGGAAGAGCAGCUCCUGGUUCUCUCAUCACUGUGGAGGACGUGAACGGGCGACGUCUGGAGUCUGGAGCUGUCAUGGGGAUCGGAGAGAACGUUAAGCAGCUGCACACUCUUCAACCCACCAAUAAACUUUAUUUUUAAUUUAAUUUCUUACUGAUUUUAUUUUCAGUAGAUAGAAAUGUACUCUUUAGGAUCAUUUAUUAGGUUCUUUAAAUGUAUAAAAACAGACAGUAUUAUCAUAGAUGAUGCUUUCUAACUAUGACAUGUGUUAAGAGGUCCCUACUUUGAAUAAAGGGAAACUAAUUCUGAAUUUUUAAUGAUGAAUGUUUGUAAUGUUUUGAAUCAUUUAAUCUGCUUCAAAAAUAAAUUUUGUACAGAUCUGA